AGAUCGAACGCUGGCGGCAGGCCUAACACAUGCAAGUCGAGCGGUAGAGAGGUGCUUGCACCCCUUGAGAGCGGCGGACGGGUGAGUAAUGCCUAGGAAUCUGCCUAGUGGUGGGGGAUAACGUUCGGAAACGGACGCUAAUACCGCAUACGUCCUACGGGAGAAAGCGGGGGACCUUCGGGCCUCGCGCCAUUAGAUGAGCCUAGGUCGGAUUAGCUAGUUGGUGAGGUAAUGGCUCACCAAGGCGACGAUCCGUAACUGGUCUGAGAGGAUGAUCAGUCACACUGGAACUGAGACACGGUCCAGACUCCUACGGGAGGCAGCAGUGGGGAAUAUUGGACAAUGGGCGAAAAGCCUGAUCCAGCCAUGCCGCGUGUGUGAAGAAGGUCUUCGGAUUGUAAAGCAACUUUAAGUUGGAGGAAGGUUGUAACUUAAUACGUUGCAACUUUGACGUUACCGACAGAAUAAGCACCGGCUAAACUCGUGCCAGCAGCCG
Molecule: ribosomal RNA, 496 nt
Filed under: uncultured soil bacterium
Lineage: Bacteria
Description: bacterial SSU rRNA
Rfam family: Bacterial small subunit ribosomal RNA
Source: RNAcentral